AAACCUGUGCGCUGGUCGGCCUGGGUUGCGGCUCCUGGGAAGCCAAAACGUGAAAUGGGGUUUCCAUCCUGUCUUCCUAGAGGAAAUAAAAUUCAGGUCGAAGACAGUUCCCAGGGUAGCAGUAGUCUCUAACUGGGCAAAUAGUGUCGGAGAAUAGGCUUCCUCAAAUUAAGGGAAAAAAAAAAGAAAAAACCCCAAACCAAACCAAACUAAAAUAAACCCUAAAAUAUUGACUCGGGCAAAAGAGAGCUACUCAACACGGGAACGGAACAAAAGAAACAACUUCACAAAGUCACACUGACUGUGUAACAGGUUUAAAAAAUGAAUGGGUCCUGAAGCAACGAUAACUCAUUUUUGACAAAUGGAUGGACAAAUUAUAGCUUACCAGGAAUGACCAGAAAAAAGAAUUAACUUAUUUGAGAAGCUAAGCAUGAUCAGAAAACGUAUCAUCUCUUUGUAGAUCAGUUCUUAACAGUAGAAUAAGUAAUCCCUCUUCCUUUGUCCUCAAAUUACUUUCGUUCAGGUUAGUCACUUCUGUGAUUUACAAGUUAAGCGGUAGUUUAUUGCUGUCUUGCUUUUCUGACAGAAGAAAUAAAUAACAAUGCCCCGGGUUUUUGCAACGUAAACAUCCAGGAUAUAUCCUACGGGAGUCCAUGGCUCUGAAAUUAAUCUCCUUACCAAGCAAAAUUUACUGGGAGCCCUCCUUGAAAUAACUGAAUAAAAAAGAAAUAUUGGUCUCCCGGAAGUAGAGCUCUUGACACAUUAAAUAUCUCUUCAGUCCAUUUCCAAAGAUGAAAGAUACAGCCCUUCGCUGGGUGCCUUCUCUGAUGGUUUGCUCGGUGGUAGAUGUCUGUUUGCUGUAAUCUGCUGUCAGGCAUACCCGUCCACUCCUCCUGAACCCUGCUCUGAUGGCAGGCAUGACUGUGGCCAUCAGGAUGGCUUCUCAUGAAAUAUAGAGGACAGAGAUGUUCCAGUCUUAUCAUGGCCUUGGCAAAUUGAUUUUUCGUUCCCGGAUUGAGCCAUUUUCCCCAUGCUUCUCAGCCAUAUUCAGCCACAUUUAUUGCACCUCCACCCCAACCCCCUUUUAACAUAUCCCUUUUUUCCCUAACGUAAAUGCUCCGAAAUUCCAGUCACCACUUCUUAGUAAUUUCUGACGGACGUUUCAUGUUUUUCAGAAUGCGGAGCUGUGAUAUUUGAGUACUAAACAAAUGUUUUGCAUGAGUUUAGACACCUAGGGACAGUGUUAGCCGGUAAUUUUCAAGUUUGGAUGUUGAAGGGAUGGCGACUUAUCACAGGGAAAAUUAAUUACGUGCAAUGAAAAGGUUGUAGUGUAGAACUGUCAUCCACUUUGAAGCUUCAAGGGAACGCGAUUUAAUGUGAUAGGAACUGUGACUGUAAAACAAAAAUAUGUGCAGCUGCAGUUGGUGCCCACAUUUUUGGUUUUGAUGCUCAUUUACCAGUACUAAGAAACUGAAAUCUGAAAAUGCCUUCUUUCAGAUCACCUGGUGGCUCUAACUUUUGCAAAAGUCGUGGAAAGCCUAAUGUAUAAUAAUAUGUAAUGGCUGCCAAGCUAGGUCGGCGCAGAGACCGGGUUGGGUAGUGUCACUCCCACCUUUCCUCUGCAGGGAAGUGGCAUUUUACAGCCCAGACAGCUCUGCAGGGUUUCUAAUGGCCUACAGCAGCCCCAUCGCCAUACCUGGAG
RNAcentral lists this long non-coding RNA (1702 nucleotides) under Homo sapiens (human). RNAcentral describes it as "HSALNT0383127". The record is from RNAcentral. Lineage: Eukaryota; Metazoa; Chordata; Mammalia; Primates; Hominidae.